GACGAACGCUGGCGGCGUGCUUAACACAUGCAAGUCGAACGGAAAGGCCCUGCUUUUGUGGGUUGCUCGAGUGGCGAACGGGUGAGUAACACGUGAGUAACCUGCCCUUGACUUUGGGAUAACUUCAGGAAACUGGGGCUAUUACCGGAUAGGAGCUCCUGCUCCAUGGUGGGGGUUGGAAAGUUUCGGCGGUUGGGGAUGGACUCGCGGCUUAUCAGCUUGUUGGUGGGGUAGUGGCUUACCAAGGCUUUGACGGGUAGCCGGCCUGAGAGGGUGACCGGCCACAUUGGGACUGAGAUACGGCCCAGACUCCUACGGGAGGCAGCAGUGGGGAAUAUUGCACAAUGGGCGGAAGCCUGAUGCAGCAACGCCGCGUGCGGGAUGACGGCCUUCGGGUUGUAAACCGCUUUCGCCUGUGACGAAGCGUGAGUGACGGUAAUGGGUAAAGAAGCACCGGCUAACUACGUG
RNAcentral lists this ribosomal RNA (468 nucleotides) under uncultured bacterium. Its description in RNAcentral is "partial 16S ribosomal RNA". It matches the Rfam family "Bacterial small subunit ribosomal RNA", at positions 28 to 507 of the family's 1533-position model. The record is from RNAcentral.